This 338-nucleotide ribosomal RNA is filed under the name uncultured bacterium. Its description in RNAcentral is "bacterial SSU rRNA". It matches the Rfam family "Bacterial small subunit ribosomal RNA", at positions 22 to 356 of the family's 1533-position model. The record is from RNAcentral.
GCUCAGAUUGAACGCUGGCGGCAGGCCUAACACAUGCAAGUCGAACGGUAACAGGAAGCAGCUUGCUGCUUUGCUGACGAGUGGCGGACGGGUGAGUAAUGUCUGGGAAACUGCCUGAUGGAGGGGGAUAACUACUGGAAACGGUAGCUAAUACCGCAUAACGUCGCAAGACCAAAGAGGGGGACCUUCGGGCCUCUUGCCAUCGGAUGUGCCCAGAUGGGAUUAGCUAGUAGGUGGGGUAACGGCUCACCUAGGCGACGAUCCCUAGCUGGUCUGAGAGGAUGACCAGCCACACUGGAACUGAGACACGGUCCAGACUCCUACGGGAGGCAGCAGUA